RNAcentral lists this unclassified non-coding RNA (2626 nucleotides) under Hevea brasiliensis (rubber tree). Lineage: Eukaryota; Viridiplantae; Streptophyta; Magnoliopsida; Malpighiales; Euphorbiaceae. The record is from RNAcentral.
GUAAAAUUGAUAAAUAUUUAAUCACAUACUAUUAUAAAAUUUAUUCUGAUAAAUGAAUAUUAUAAAUCAUUGAAGAGGAAUUAAAAAGAAAUUGACAACAUUCUCAGGGAAUAAGGGAAAGGGAAGUCGAGCUCUGAUAGUAAUGCCAAAAUUUUACUGGCUAAGAACUGAAAUUAAUAAUUGAUAGUCGACUGAAUUACAAUCCAGUCACUACAAAAAUUUGUAAAAAGGGUAAAAAAUUCAAACAGAAAUGAGAAGAGAAAGGCUUAAAGCACAUUGCAGGCCACAAAGUGUGCAAAACUACACUGCAGGUUUAACGGUAGCAUCGGUAGACUGGGCUGUACAUGCAGCUCUCUGCAUGCUGGACAAGAUCCUUAGGACGUGGGAGACGAGAUGACAAACCAAGUUCAUAUGCUUUGGCAGCAACUUUAGCAGCAAUGUGGGCUGAAAUUUUCCGGAUGUUGGAAAAUGGAGGGUAAAUCAGUCCCUUGUCAAAGUUUUCCUGUUUUACUUGUGCGGCCAAAGCUUCGGAGGCUGCCAAAAGCAAGUCAUCAUGCACACGAAUUGCACCAGACAUGAUCAACCCCAAGCCAAAUCCAGGGAAUAUGUAAGCAUUGUUUGCCUGGCCAGGCACAAAAACUUUCCCAUUGUAUUCAACAGGGUCAAACGGACUUCCACUAGCAAAGAUAGCACGACCCUUACUCCAUGUAUAAGCUUCUUCAGCUGUACACUCAGAUUGUGAAGUAGGAUUGGAGAGGGCGAGAAUUAGCGGUUUCUCGUUGAAGGAUGCCAUGGCCUCAACCACCUCCUUUGUGAAUGUUUUUCCAACUCCAGAUGAUCCGAUCAAUACUGUUGGCUUGAUUGUCUUAACAGCAUCCAAAAGUCCCUUGACAGGUUCAUGUUCAUGUGCCCAAGGCUUCUUGAAGUGCUGAAGUGACUCUUUACGAGAGCUAACAAUCAGUCCCUUUGAGUCCACAAGCCAAAUCUUCUUGCGGGUCUCUUCAAUUGGACCUUUAAUCUGUUUUGAUAUCUCAAGAGCUAUAAGCUCAGCUAUACCAGUUCCAGCCUCUCCAGCACCCAGGAAUAAGAAUUUAUGAUCAGCCAAGGUUCCACCAACUAAAUUCAGAGCUGCAAGAAGUCCCGCUAGCACCACAGAUGCUGUACCCUGUAUAUCAUCAUUGAAAACGAGAUGAGUUGGGCUGUAUUUCGUCAGUAGCUCAAACGCAUUGUGAUUUGCAAAAUCUUCAAACUGUACGAGGACUUUCUCCCCAUAGUUCUGCUUGACUGCAGUCAUGAACUCGUCUAGAAGUUCAGCAUAUUCCUUUCCAGUUGCCCUCUUUUGUUUCAGACCAAUGUAGAACUCGUCAUUCAACAACUGCUCAUUGUUUGUGCCAACAUCAAUGGUAACAGGCAAGCAAGCUGAGGGACGUAAUCCUCCUAGUGCAGUGUACAAAGAGAGUUUUCCUACAGGAAUCCCCAUUCCCUGGCAACCAAGAUCCCCAAGUCCUAAAAUACGCUCACCAUCAGUAACGACAAUAACCUGUAUAUUUCUUUCUGGCCAGUUCUUCAAUACUUCAAGAAUCUUGCCCUUUUCUUUCAAGCUGAUGUAGAGACCUUGAGGUCGCUUGAAAAUGCUCCCAUAUUUCUGGCAAGCCUCACCAACUGUGGGAGUGUACACGAUUGGCAGCAGUUCUUCAACAUUAUCAAUCAGAAGCUUAUAAAAUAGCUUUUCGUUCCUCUCCUGCAGAUCCAUCAUGGCCAUGUAUCGUUGCAGAGGAACUUUGUACUGGCGCAGAUUGUGCAUCACCCUUUUCUCCUGGAGCUCCUGAGUCAAGAUUGCUGGGGGAAGAAGGCCACGUAAGUAAUGAGCAUCCCUCUCCUUCUCGGUGAAAGCAAGCCCCUUGUUGUGGUGUGGGUCCCGCAACAAAGUAUACCCACUGGCAACAGAGACAGUCCACGGAGUGAUAAGCUGAUCUUCCGUGGCACUAUCCUCACCAUACAAGUCCUCAACACCUCCACCCACAGUAACAUUCUUCUUCUCCUCCUCCUCCACUGAGUGACCACCAUUUACCAUUGUACUCGCCAUUAAAGCACAAAACUUUCUCUCUACUUCCCUACCCAGCACCACUCUCUGCAAACAAAAGAAAGCCGAAAAGAUACAACACACAGGAUACACGAACCUUGUAUUGGGGAAAAAGAAAACAGAGUCCACCUUUUAUAGGCAACCGAAACCCAAAAAGUUCCAGUGAUUAUAUUAAUAAUUUCUGAAAAUGGAAGAUGAGGCUUAGAGGGUUUGUUUCAACUUUCAACUUUCAAUGUCAAAAGGGCGAACGUAGACUACCCACGUGGACAAUUUGAUUAAAAAUAAAUAAAAAAGAAUUUGCAUUGCUUUAAAAGAAAUUUAAGGACAAAUGUGAGCGUGAGUGUAUUACAAAGUUGGAAUGCUCAUGUUAAAUUUAAUGGUACCAGAAAAGUAAUUCUCUUCAGUGUAAUCAUACUGCAGGACCGUGUGAAAGGGUGGAGAGAGAGAGGAUAAUUCUUCGCCCUUUUCUUUUCUUAGAGUGAGAAAAUCUUUGUUACGCGUUUCGGCAGAGAGAGAGAGAGAGAAGAAUUUAUUACAUUGCUG